This 437-nucleotide ribosomal RNA is filed under the name Diplogastrellus gracilis. Its description in RNAcentral is "SSU rRNA". It matches the Rfam family "Eukaryotic small subunit ribosomal RNA", at positions 91 to 532 of the family's 1831-position model. Lineage: Eukaryota; Metazoa; Nematoda; Chromadorea; Rhabditida; Diplogasteridae. The record is from RNAcentral.
GUACGGCUCAUUAAAACAGCUAUAAACUACUCGAAUUUGACCGUUUAAACGGAUAACUGCGAUAAUUUCGGAGCUAAUACGUGCACCAAUCCUAAGUUCUCUGAAUUUAGGGCACUUAUUAGAUGAAGACCUAACGGGCUUGCCCGAAUUGGUGACUCUGAAUAAUUUCGCUGAUCGCAUGGUCUUGUACCGGCGACGUAUCGUUCGUGUAUCUGACCUAUCAACUUUCGAUGGAAGUCCAUGUGACUGCCAUGGUUGUUACGGGUAACGGAGAAUCAGGGUUCGACUCCGGAGAGGGAGCCUGAGAAACGGCUACCACUUCCAAGGAAGGCAGCAGGCGCGUAAAUUACCCACUCUCAAUACGAGGAGGUAGUGACUAUCAAUAACGAGGCAGAUCUCUUUGAGGCCUGCUAUCGGAAUGGGUACAAUUUAAACCC